RNAcentral lists this ribosomal RNA (425 nucleotides) under uncultured bacterium. Its description in RNAcentral is "bacterial SSU rRNA". It matches the Rfam family "Bacterial small subunit ribosomal RNA", at positions 355 to 792 of the family's 1533-position model. The record is from RNAcentral.
UGGGGAAUAUUGCACAAUGGGCGGAAGCCUGAUGCAGCGACGCCGCGUGAGGGAUGACGGCCUUCGGGUUGUAAACCUCUUUCAGCAGGGACGAAGCGUAAGUGACGGUACCUGCAGAAGAAGCACCGGCUAACUACGUGCCAGCAGCCGCGGUAAUACGUAGGGUGCGAGCGUUGUCCGGAAUUACUGGGCGUAAAGAGCUCGUAGGCGGUUUGUCACGUCGUCUGUGAAAUCCUAGGGCUUAACCCUGGACGUGCAGGCGAUACGGGCUGACUUGAGUACUACAGGGGAGACUGGAAUUUCUGGUGUAGCGGUGGAAUGCACAGAUAUCAGGAAGAACACCGAUGGCGAAGGCAGGUCUCUGGGUAGUAACUGACGCUGAGGAGCGAAAGCAUGGGUAGCGAACAGGAUUAGAUACCCUGGUA